Molecule: ribosomal RNA, 400 nt
Filed under: Rhizobium leguminosarum
Lineage: Bacteria; Pseudomonadati; Pseudomonadota; Alphaproteobacteria; Hyphomicrobiales; Rhizobiaceae
Description: bacterial SSU rRNA
Rfam family: Bacterial small subunit ribosomal RNA
Source: RNAcentral
GCUCAGAACGAACGCUGGCGGCAGGCUUAACACAUGCAAGUCGAGCGCSYMGCAAKRGGAGCGGCAGACGGGUGAGUAACGCGUGGGAAUCUACCCUUGACUACGGAAUAACGCAGGGAAACUUGUGCUAAUACCGUAUGUGUCCUUCGGGAGAAAGAUUUAUCGGUCAAGGAUGAGCCCGCGUUGGAUUAGCUAGUUGGUGGGGUAAAGGCCUACCAAGGCGACGAUCCAUAGCUGGUCUGAGAGGAUGAUCAGCCACAUUGGGACUGAGACACGGCCCAAACUCCUACGGGAGGCAGCAGUGGGGAAUAUUGGACAAUGGGCGCAAGCCUGAUCCAGCCAUGCCGCGUGAGUGAUGAAGGCCCUAGGGUUGUAAAGCUCUUUCACCGGAGAAGAUAAU